Molecule: ribosomal RNA, 253 nt
Filed under: uncultured bacterium
Lineage: Bacteria
Description: partial 16S ribosomal RNA
Rfam family: Bacterial small subunit ribosomal RNA
Source: RNAcentral
UACGUAGGGGGCAAGCGUUGUCCGGAAUCAUUGGGCGUAAAGAGCGUGUAGGCGGCUUGGUAAGUCCGCUGUGAAAGUCCAGGGCUCAACCCUGGAAUGCCGGUGGAAACUGUCAGGCUCGAGUCCGGAAGAGGCGAGUGGAAUUCCUGGUGUAGCGGUGAAAUGCGCAGAUAUCAGGAGGAACACUAAUGGCGAAGGCAGCUCGCUGGGACGGUACUGACGCUGAGACGCGAAAGCGUGGGGAGCAAACAGG